AGAGUUUGAUCAUGGCUCAGAUUGAACGCUGGCGGCAUGCCUAACACAUGCAAGUCGAACGGUAACAGAUAAGAUGAUCUCUUCGGAGUGAAUCUUUGCUGACGAGUGGCGGACGGGUGAGUAAUGCUUGGGAAUCUGCCCAAUAGUGGGGGAAAACUCGGGGAAACCCGGGCUAAUACCGCAUAAUCUCUACGGAGGAAAGAGGGCCUCUACAUGUAAGCUCUCGCUAAUGGAUGAGCCCAAGUCAGAUUAGCUUGUUGGUAAGGUAAUGGCUUACCAAGGCUACGAUCUGUAGCUGGUCUGAGAGGACGACCAGCCACACUGGGACUGAGACACGGCCCAGACUCCUACGGGAGGCAGCAGUGGGGAAUAUUGCACAAUGGGCGCAAGCCUGAUGCAGCAAUGCCGCGUGUGUGAAGAAGGCUCUAGGGUUGUAAAGCACUUUCAAUAGAGAAGAAAAGCUUGAAAUUAAUACUUUCAAGCCUUGACGUAACCUAUACAAGAAGCACCGGCUAAUUCCGUGCCAGCAGCCGCGGUAAUACGGGAGGUGCGAGCGUUAAUCGGAAUUACUGGGCGUAAAGCGAGCGUAGGCUGUUAAUUAAGUCGAAUGUGAAAUCCCCGGGCUCAACCUGGGAACUGCAUCCGAAACUAUUUAACUAGAGUAUGGGAGAGGAAAGUAGAAUUUCCGGUGUAGCGGUGAAAUGCGUAGAUAUCGGAAGGAAUACCAGUGGCGAAGGCGGCUUUCUGGAACAAUACUGACGCUGAGGUUCGAAAGCGUGGGGAGCAAACAGGAUUAGAUACCCUGGUAGU
Molecule: ribosomal RNA, 810 nt
Filed under: uncultured bacterium
Lineage: Bacteria
Description: bacterial SSU rRNA
Rfam family: Bacterial small subunit ribosomal RNA
Source: RNAcentral